UGAUGUUAGCGGCGGACGGGUGAGUAACACGUGGGUAACCUACCUAUAAGACUGGGAUAACUCCGGGAAACCGGGGCUAAUACCGGAUAAUAUUUUGAACCGCAUGGUUCAAUAGUGAAAGACGGUUUCGGCUGUCACUUAUAGAUGGACCCGCGCCGUAUUAGCUAGUUGGUAAGGUAACGGCUUACCAAGGCGACGAUACGUAGCCGACCUGAGAGGGUGAUCGGCCACACUGGAACUGAGACACGGUCCAGACUCCUACGGGAGGCAGCAGUAGGGAAUCUUCCGCAAUGGGCGAAAGCCUGACGGAGCAACGCCGCGUGAGUGAUGAAGGUCUUCGGAUCGUAAAACUCUGUUGUUAGGGAAGAACAAAUUUGUUAGUAAC
Molecule: ribosomal RNA, 385 nt
Filed under: uncultured Staphylococcus sp.
Lineage: Bacteria; Bacillati; Bacillota; Bacilli; Caryophanales; Staphylococcaceae
Description: bacterial SSU rRNA
Rfam family: Bacterial small subunit ribosomal RNA
Source: RNAcentral